This 449-nucleotide ribosomal RNA is filed under the name uncultured bacterium. Its description in RNAcentral is "partial 16S ribosomal RNA". It matches the Rfam family "Bacterial small subunit ribosomal RNA", at positions 30 to 523 of the family's 1533-position model. The record is from RNAcentral.
AUUGAACGCUGGCGGCAGGCUUAACACAUGCAAGUCGAGCGGGCCCUUCGGGGUCAGCGGCAGACGGGUGAGUAACACGUGGGAACGUGCCCUUCGGUUCGGAAUAACUCAGGGAAACUUGAGCUAAUACCGGAUACGCCCUUAUGGGGAAAGGUUUACUGCCGAAGGAUCGGCCCGCGUCUGAUUAGCUUGUUGGUGGGGUAACGGCCUACCAAGGCGACGAUCAGUAGCUGGUCUGAGAGGGUGAUCAGCCACACUGGGACUGAGACACGGCCCAGACUCCUACGGGAGGCAGCAGUGGGGAAUAUUGGACAAUGGGCGCAAGCCUGAUCCAGCAAUGCCGCGUGAGUGAUGAAGGCCUUAGGGUUGUAAAGCUCUUUUGUCCGGGACGAUAAUGACGGUACCGGAAGAAUAAGCCCCGGCUAACUUCGUGCCAGCAGCCGCCGUAA